This 279-nucleotide long non-coding RNA is filed under the name Olea europaea subsp. europaea. The record is from RNAcentral. Lineage: Eukaryota; Viridiplantae; Streptophyta; Magnoliopsida; Lamiales; Oleaceae.
AUACAGCUUUACUUGUGAAGCAGCACUUAUUGUUUUUGUCAUAUCUGGAGUUAUAUAGAUCCAAUGAACCUGAUAUUUGAACCAAUGGAAAGAAAACUCAAGUGGAAAUAAUUUAUCUGUUGAUCAUAAGUCCAAAUUCGCUGCACAAUGUAUCUGGAAAUUGGCAUCAAUUUGCAUGUUCCAGCUGUCUUGAAGCUGGACAGAAACAAGUUGCAUUGCCUACUUGAAUUUUGGAUGUUCCUUUGCCUAUAAAAGGGGACCUUGGCCACGAUUUUGAAG